AGAGUUUGAUCCUGGCUCAGGAUGAACGCUAGCUACAGGCUUAACACAUGCAAGUCGAGGGGAAACGGCAUUAAGUGCUUGCACUUUUUGGACGUCGACCGGCGCACGGGUGAGUAACGCGUAUCCAACCUGCCCCUUACCAGGGAAUAACCCGUUGAAAGACGGACUAAUGCCCUAUGCAGUCCUUUGACGGCAUCAGAUUAGGACUAAAGAUUCAUCGGUAUGGGAUGGGGAUGCGUCUGAUUAGCUUGUUGGCGGGGUAACGGCCCACCAAGGCAUCGAUCAGUAGGGGUUCUGAGAGGAAGGUCCCCCACAUAGGAACUGAGACACGGUCCUAACUCCUACGGGAGGCAGCAGUGAGGAAUAUUGGUCAAUGGGCGCUAGCCUGAACCAGCCAAGUAGCGUGCAGGAUGACGGCCCUAUGGGUUGUAAACUGCUUUUAUGCGGGGAUAAAGUCACCCACGUGUGGGUGUUUGCAGGUACCGCAUGAAUAAGGACCGGCUAAUUCCGUGCCAGCAGCCGCGGUAAUACGGAAGGUCCGGGCGUUAUCCGGAUUUAUUGGGUUUAAAGGGAGCGUAGGCUGUCUAUUAAGCGUGUUGUGAAAUUUACCGGCUCAACCGGUGGCUUGCAGCGCGAACUGGUCGACUUGAGUAUGCAGGAAGUAGGCGGAAUUCAUGGUGUAGCGGUGAAAUGCUUAGAUAUCAUGACGAACUCCGAUUGCGCAGGCAGCUUACUGUAGCAUAACUGACGCUGAUGCUCGAAAGUGCGGGUAUCAAACAGGAUUAGAUACCCUGGUAGUCCGCACGGUAAACGAUGGAUGCUCGCUAUUCGUCCUAUUUGGAUGAGUGGCCAAGUGAAAACAUUAAGCAUCCCACCUGGGGAGUACGCCGGCAACGGUGAAACUCAAAGGAAUUGACGGGGGCCCGCACAAGCGGAGGAACAUGUGGUUUAAUUCGAU
RNAcentral lists this ribosomal RNA (958 nucleotides) under human gut metagenome. Its description in RNAcentral is "bacterial SSU rRNA". It matches the Rfam family "Bacterial small subunit ribosomal RNA", at positions 8 to 955 of the family's 1533-position model. The record is from RNAcentral.